GGCAGGCUGGUCUCACUGCUUUUCUGCCGUCCUGCAGCCAAGCCUCGUUGGAGCCCACGGUCCGCAGGGGGCUUGGUGCGGUGGACCCAGUGACAGCCGUGGCCCUGGUGAGCUGGGGGGGCAGCUCUCCCCCAAAUGGUCACCUCUCUUUCCCAAUGGUGGAUUUGUUUCCAUCCCUUGACCUGGAGCUUCUCUGCCCAUCCAGGUCCCUGAACUCCGCUGGUGCGGCCCGGCCUCCUGUGGCUGAGGAGGGACUGCUGAGGAAGGAAGCCCCUCCUGUCCGAUCCUCCCUCACUCCUUUGGACCCCACGUUGCAGCCAACGGUGUUCUUAGCAUCUUGGCAAAGGCAAAGGAUCAGGCUGGGACCGGGUGGCUCAGUCUGCACAUUCCAGCUCCUCUACCCCCAGACCGCCUGGAAACAGGAGCUGAGCCUCCGCCCCACGACGAAAGAAAAUGCGCGUGAGAGCGGUGUUCAGAGCCGCCCAGCUCUCUAGAGGCCGAGCCAGCUCUAGCGCCCAGGGCUCCCGUCCGCCAGGCGGCGGCUUCCUCCCGCGCGCCCGCCUCGGGUCAUCGCUAAAACCCGCCCCUUCCCACCUUCCACCCCUUCAGACCCUCCCACGGAUUUCCUCUCCUCCAGGGGAAGGACUCUGAUAGGCGGUCAUGGAGAGAACACCCAGUAAGAUGAUAUAUUUUUAUGAAAU
RNAcentral lists this long non-coding RNA (701 nucleotides) under Neogale vison (American mink). Its description in RNAcentral is "Neovison vison (American mink) lncRNA (ENSNVIG00000005677.1)". The record is from RNAcentral. Lineage: Eukaryota; Metazoa; Chordata; Mammalia; Carnivora; Mustelidae.